GAUGAACGCUAGCGGGAGGCCUAACACAUGCAAGCCGAGCGGUAUUUGUUCUUCGGAACAGAGAGAGCGGCGCACGGGUGCGGAACACGUGUGCAACCUGCCUUUAUCUGGGGGAUAGCCUUUCGAAAGGAAGAUUAAUACCCCAUAAUAUAUUGAGUGGCAUCAUUUGAUAUUGAAAACUCCGGUGGAUAGAGAUGGGCACGCGCAAGAUUAGAUAGUUGGUGAGGUAACGGCUCACCAAGUCAAUGAUCUUUAGGGGGCCUGAGAGGGUGAUCCCCCACACUGGUACUGAGACACGGACCGGACUACUACGGGAGGCAGCAGUGAGGAAUAUUGUACAAAGGGUCAGCGCCUGAGCCACCCAUCCCACGUGAAGGACGACGGCCUGAGGGGAGGGAAACAUCUUUUGUAUGGGGAUGAACCCACUCUCGUGAGAGUAGCUGAAGGUAGUAUACAAAUAAGCACCGGCUAACUCCGAG
Molecule: ribosomal RNA, 479 nt
Filed under: uncultured bacterium
Lineage: Bacteria
Description: partial 16S ribosomal RNA
Rfam family: Bacterial small subunit ribosomal RNA
Source: RNAcentral